CGAGCACGCGCGUGUGGCAUAUCAAUAAGCGGAGGAAAAGAAACUAACAAGGAUUCCCUUAGUAACGGCGAGUGAAGCGGGAAGAGCUCAAAUUUGAAAUCUUCAAGGUUCUACCUUGACGAAUUGUAGUUUAUAGAAGUGUUUUCUGUUAGUAGGAGUGGCAAAAGUUCUUUGGAAUAGGACAUCAUAGAGGGUGAGAGUCCCGUAUUUGGUCAUUCCUUCCUAGCGUUGUGAUACACUUUCAACGAGUCGGAUUGUUUGGGAAUGCAGUCCAAAAUGGGUGGUAAAUUUCAUCUAAAGCUAAAUAUUGGCGAGAGACCGAUAGCGAACAAGUACCGUGAGGGAAAGAUGAAAAGAACUUUGAAAAGAGAGUUAAACAGUACGUGAAAUUGUCAAAAGGGAAGCGUUUGACACCAGUGUUGUUUUUCCGAAAAUCAAUUACGAAUGUCUUUGUUUUUGAGGAGUUAUGACUUCAUCGGCUUGCUCCUUUCUUUACGAAACUUUCUUAAUGCACUUUUCGGUUAACAAGUCAACAUCAAUUUCUUUUGUUGUAAAAGGGUAUGAGGAAGGUGGCUUUCUUUUCGGAGAAAGUGUUUAUAGCCUUGUGCCUCUGCAAUCGGAGAGAUUGAGGUCUGCAGCGUAGAUCCUUCGGGGUUAGAUACGUUUGUGCUAAGUUAUAGCUUUUCAUAGACAACUUGUUGACUACUGUUUAGUCUUGUAGCUUACUCGCUUACUGCUAUUUUACCUACGCUUAGGAUGUUGAUGUGAUACUGCGAGCA
Molecule: ribosomal RNA, 779 nt
Filed under: uncultured Neocallimastigales
Lineage: Eukaryota; Fungi; Neocallimastigomycota; Neocallimastigomycetes; Neocallimastigales
Description: partial large subunit ribosomal RNA
Rfam family: Eukaryotic large subunit ribosomal RNA
Source: RNAcentral